UAAGAACUCAAAGCAGAAGUGACCAGGGAGCCCAGGAUAUGAGGCCUUCCCCUCAGAAACUUUGUUGAAACCGCUCAGUGUCUGUGGAAUGUUCUGGGUCUGACUAAAUAGCAUAUUGAGUGAUACUGUGAAGAUACUGGCAAGAAGAAUAACAAAGCUGUUGAAGCCUUCUUUGGAAACAUGAUAAAGAAGCAAAAAGGCACACC
Molecule: long non-coding RNA, 206 nt
Organism: Gopherus flavomarginatus (Mexican gopher tortoise)
Lineage: Eukaryota; Metazoa; Chordata; Testudines; Testudinidae
Exons: 3
Source: RefSeq, a predicted model, not a curated record